CAUAGUAGAGUGAUAAAGAUGGUAUUUUUAUGAGUUGUAAAGAAAAUCCAGAAAAGGGUUCUUGGAAAUUGAAGGUGAAGAUUAGAUUCUUAGCUGCAUUUUGAAAAGUAAAUUACUCAAUGUUAGAAAGAUUAGAUUUUUAUGAGGUAUGAAGAAAAUCCAGAAAAGGGUUCUUGGAAAUUGAAGGUGAAUAUUAGGUUCUUGGCUGCAUUUCUUCAAUUAGAUUACUCAAAGUGUUACAAAGAUAAGAUUUUUGAGAGAAAAAUGAAUAAAGUACUAUAAGGGGUUUCUAUAUAUAGUUUCUGGAAGUGAAAGAGUAGGGAAGGAGGAUGCUAAUGAUGUUACUAGGGAUUGGUUUUAUGUUUUCUUGUGAUUAUAUGAGUGAUAAUUGUAGUUGUUAUUUGCUUUAUGUUGGAAUGAGCAGAGCAAAACUUGAACUUUUCUGGGAAAUUUCAAAUCUUGGGCUAUUGGAGUGGACAGUAAAGUUGCUAUUUUUGGGAAAGAAACAAGUUAAUGAUAUCUUCAGGGACAAAUUUGGUGAUGACUGUGAUUGGAUUUGCAGUUAGUACUAUGUUCAUAGUAUUUGUGUGCACAAGACUAAUUUGUGCAAGAAUUCAAUUGAACGCUAGACGGCGCUUUUUUGCAUAUGCUUCUAGAUCUGAUCUUAGCAUUUUGGAGCGUGGUUUACAUUGUCUCGAGCCUCUUGCUGUUGCCAACUUCCCGACAAAGAAGUAUGGGGACGCGUUUUCUCUCUCUGCAGAAGAUGCUCAGUAAGUUUUUU
Molecule: long non-coding RNA, 781 nt
Organism: Lycium ferocissimum
Lineage: Eukaryota; Viridiplantae; Streptophyta; Magnoliopsida; Solanales; Solanaceae
Exons: 5
Source: RefSeq, a predicted model, not a curated record